UAAUGGUUACGAAGAAAAUAAAUGAAAACAAAAUUUUCCGGAUAAUCAUCGGUUGUCGUAUGGUGGCUUCCAAUCAAUUACAAUGCGGGAAGCAAUUUAUCGAUUGAGAAAAUUAUUUCAUAAAAAAUCACGUCAUUAAUAAUUUGAAUCCAUGGCUGACAAUUAACCUAUGCAAUUAUGCUCAAGACUGCUGUAUAACAAUAAAAAAAAAUUCUUCUGGAUAACUGGCAAGAAAGAGGUGAAGCAAAAAGAAAAAGUUCCUAGCCAUUGUUUAAUUGGCAAGCCAUAUAUAUUUGGUGCUAAUUGGAAUCGAAAUGAAAGAACUUAACCUAAAGUUAACUAUAGAGCGGCCAGAAAAAAAAACAACGAACAAUGUUCAUUAUGGAAAAAAAUCUGGUCUAGAAAAUUAAUACUCAUCUACUAUUCAAGAAUCAAUUUUCCACUUUUGUAUCGGAAGCAGCAAAAAAAUUUGCGUGUUGCAAACAACAGCAAUUAAUGUCAUGUCGCCAAGUCCAUUGUUGCGAUGAUGAUGAUGAUGAUAGUGACUAUAAUUUGCAGAGAAUGACAACCAGUAGUUUGCCAAGAACGAAAAAACAACAACUGUUUACACUAAUGUUUCUGAAAUUGAAAUUCGAAGAAAAAUAACCA
Long non-coding RNA from Dermatophagoides farinae (American house dust mite), 648 nucleotides. RefSeq lists it as uncharacterized. NCBI's taxonomy places the organism in Eukaryota, Metazoa, Arthropoda, Arachnida, Sarcoptiformes, Pyroglyphidae. The record is from RefSeq and is a predicted model, not a curated record.